GAGGGCAAGUCUGGUGCCAGCAGCCGCGGUAAUUCCAGCUCCAAUAGCGUAUAUUAAAGUUGCUGCAGUUAAAAAGCUCGUAGUUGAAUUUCGGGACUAAUAUGUUGGUCGUGCCUCGGUACGUACUGAUAUUUUUGGUUUCUCCCUUCUGACGAACCUUGAUGUCAUUAAUUUGGUGUCUUGGGAAAUCAGGACUGUUACUUUGAAAAAAUUAGAGUGUUUAAAGCAGGCUCACGCUUGAAUACAUUAGCAUGGAAUAAUGAAAUAGGACGUUUGAUUCUAUUUUGUUGGUUUCUAGGAUCGACGUAAUGAUUAAUAGGGAUAGUUGGGGGCAUUAGUAUUCAAUUGUCAGAGGUGAAAUUCUUGGAUUUAUUGAAGACUAACUACUGCGAAAGCAUUUGCCAAGGAUGUUUUCAUUAAUCAAGAACGAAAGUUAGGGGAUCGAAGACGAUCAGAUACCGUCGUAGUCUCACC
This 474-nucleotide ribosomal RNA is filed under the name uncultured Glomus. RNAcentral describes it as "SSU rRNA". It matches the Rfam family "Eukaryotic small subunit ribosomal RNA", at positions 551 to 1030 of the family's 1831-position model. Lineage: Eukaryota; Fungi; Glomeromycota; Glomeromycetes; Glomerales; Glomeraceae. The record is from RNAcentral.